Molecule: ribosomal RNA, 245 nt
Filed under: uncultured archaeon
Lineage: Archaea
Description: partial 16S ribosomal RNA
Rfam family: Archaeal small subunit ribosomal RNA
Source: RNAcentral
UACCAGCACCUCGAGUGGUCAGGACGUUUAUUGGGCCUAAAGCAUCCGUAGCCGGCUUUGCAAGUCUUCGGUUAAAUCCACCUGCUCAACAGAUGGGCUGCUGGAGAUACUACAGAGCUAGGGAGUGGGAGAGGCAGACGGUAUUCAGUGGGUAGGGGUAAAAUCCUCUGAUCCAUUGAGGACCACCAGUGGCGAAGGCGGUCUGCCAGAACACGUUCGACGGUGAGGGAUGAAAGCUGGGGGAG